CGCUGUCGUCUGCGAGGAGAGAGCAGAGACCGGAGAGACUUCAUUUGGGUGGGAGCUGCGACGUGAGCUGCCAUGCUUAAAACUAACUUGUGCACGGAUCAGCGGCCCAUGAUGUCUUUUACCUGUCGAAACUUGUUUGGUCGAACGUCCCGUGACUGCUCGGAGGACCGAGCAUUUUGUCGCAUGGAGUUGAUGCAGUUGGCAGCGACGUUUAGAGAACGGUGGGAAGUGUUAGCGGAGAUACCCGUUGAAGACGGUGAUGAGAUUAAGGUUGUGAAUCUCGAGCUACCGGCGGUGUACGCCAGAAUGGUUUUGCCGAACAGGACGGAUGCACCACUGCCGGGUAGCGAGCGUGGACAGCGGAAAAUCUCAGACUAUAUGCGCAAGACAAAGUCUCCAUUGAAUAAAUCUCGGAUCGCACCGUACAAGAAGAAGACAGACUCGACAUCUACACAAACGGAAUGAGGGGCGAUCUCAAUCGUGGCAAGAAGAUGCGCGCCAUUUGGUGAAUGGUCUAGUCGUUUGCAGCUGUAAAGAAGAUGUGCCUGUGGACUUUGUACGUCACUGCGGUGGUCCAGAUAGAAGACAUAACCUAGUUGCUGUUUUUCCUAAUAUAUACUGGUUAUCCUGCUCUGCGGACGGUGGUUGGUUGCGUCGUAUUACGACAGAAAAUGUCCUACGAAGAGAGAGAGAGAGAGAGAGAGAGAAGACAGGCACAGACCGUUUCUCAGCGAGGGCAGGACGAGUGAUCUCGUAUUCUAAUUUUAUUUUGCUAUAUGUUUUCUGAGAGAUGUUGCAAUUAGUUUUUCGUACUAUUGUUCUAGUGUGGAUAACUUGAGUUGAUGUGAUAUGAAAUACACUUUUUUAUUGAGAAUGUGAACAA
Molecule: long non-coding RNA, 883 nt
Organism: Ornithodoros turicata
Lineage: Eukaryota; Metazoa; Arthropoda; Arachnida; Ixodida; Argasidae
Exons: 3
Source: RefSeq, a predicted model, not a curated record